GCCAGUAUGACAUAGCGGUUUGAGUGUUGGACUACGACUCAGGAUACCAGGGUUCAAUUCCCAGCUCAGCCA
RNAcentral lists this transfer RNA (72 nucleotides) under Phrynosoma platyrhinos (Desert horned lizard). RNAcentral's name for it is "tRNA-OTHER". Lineage: Eukaryota; Metazoa; Chordata; Lepidosauria; Squamata; Phrynosomatidae. The record is from RNAcentral.